CCUACGGGUGGCAGCAGUGGGGAAUAUUGGGCAAUGGCCGCAAGCCUGACCCAGCAACGCCGCGUGAAGGAAGAAGGCUUUCGGGUUGUAAACUUCUUUUCUCAGGGACGAAGCAAGUGACGGUACCUGAGGAAUGAGCCACCGCUAACCACGUGCCAACACCAGCGGUAAUACGGGGGUGGCAAGCGUUAUACGGAUUUACUGGGGGUAAAGGGCGUGUAGGCGGGACUGGAAGUCAGAUGUGAAAAACACGGGCUCAACCUGUGGCCUGCAUUUGAAACUGUAGUUCUUGAGAACUGGAGAGGCAGACGGAAUUCCUAGUGUAGCGGUGAAAUGCGUAGAUAUUAGGAGGAACACCAGUGGCGAAGGCGGCCUGCUGGACAGUAACUGACGCUGAGGCGCGAAAGCGUGGGGAGCAAACAGGAUUAGAUACCCGAGUAGUC
RNAcentral lists this ribosomal RNA (443 nucleotides) under uncultured bacterium. RNAcentral describes it as "partial 16S ribosomal RNA". It matches the Rfam family "Bacterial small subunit ribosomal RNA", at positions 338 to 795 of the family's 1533-position model. The record is from RNAcentral.